UACGAGGGGUGCAAGCGUUGUUCGGAAUUACUGGGCGUAAAGCGCGUGUAGGUGGCUAAUUAUGUCAGGUGUGAAAGCCCUCGGCCUAACCGAGGAAGUGCGCCUGAAACUGAUUAGCUUGAGUACGAGAGAGGAGGACGGAAUUCCCAGUGUAGAGGUGAAAUUCGUAGAUAUUGGGAGGAACACCGGCGGCGAAAGCGGUUCUCUGGAUCGAUACUGACACUAAGACGCGAAAGCGUGGGUAGCAAACAGG
This 253-nucleotide ribosomal RNA is filed under the name uncultured bacterium. RNAcentral describes it as "partial 16S ribosomal RNA". It matches the Rfam family "Bacterial small subunit ribosomal RNA", at positions 524 to 776 of the family's 1533-position model. The record is from RNAcentral.